This 253-nucleotide ribosomal RNA is filed under the name uncultured bacterium. RNAcentral's name for it is "partial 16S ribosomal RNA". It matches the Rfam family "Bacterial small subunit ribosomal RNA", at positions 524 to 776 of the family's 1533-position model. The record is from RNAcentral.
UACAGAGGUCCCGAGCGUUGUCCGGAUUUAUUGGGUUUAAAGGGUGCGUAGGCGGCCCGUUAAGUCAGUGGUGAAAGCCUCCAGCUCAACUGGAGAACUGCCAUUGAUACUGGCGGGCUUGAGUACAGACGAGGUAGGCGGAAUUGACGGUGUAGCGGUGAAAUGCUUAGAUAUCGUCAAGAACACCUAUAGCGAAGGCAGCUUACUAGGCUGUAACUGACGCUGAGGCACGAAAGUGUGGGGAUCAAACAGG